This 465-nucleotide ribosomal RNA is filed under the name Vreelandella stevensii. Its description in RNAcentral is "partial 16S ribosomal RNA". It matches the Rfam family "Bacterial small subunit ribosomal RNA", at positions 338 to 795 of the family's 1533-position model. The record is from RNAcentral. Lineage: Bacteria; Pseudomonadati; Pseudomonadota; Gammaproteobacteria; Oceanospirillales; Halomonadaceae.
CCUACGGGAGGCAGCAGUGGGGAAUAUUGGACAAUGGGCGAAAGCCUGAUCCAGCCAUGCCGCGUGUGUGAAGAAGGCCUUCGGGUUGUAAAGCACUUUCAGUGGGGAAGAAAGCCUUGGGGCUAAUACCCUCGAGGAAGGACAUCACCCACAGAAGAAGCACCGGCUAACUCCGUGCCAGCAGCCGCGGUAAUACGGAGGGUGCGAGCGUUAAUCGGAAUUACUGGGCGUAAAGCGCGCGUAGGCGGUCUGAUAAGCCGGUUGUGAAAGCCCCGGGCUCAACCUGGGAACGGCAUCCGGAACUGUCAGGCUAGAGUGCAGGAGAGGAAGGUAGAAUUCCCGGUGUAGCGGUGAAAUGCGUAGAGAUCGGGAGGAAUACCAGUGGCGAAGGCGGCCUUCUGGACUGACACUGGCGCUGAGGUGCGAAAGCGUGGGUAGCAAACAGGAUUAGAUACCCCAGUAGUC